UACGUAGGGAGCAAGCGUUGUCCGGAAUCAUUGGGCGUAAAGCGCGCGUAGGCGGCCCCGUAAGUCCGCUGUGAAAGUCAAAGGCUCAACCUUUGAAAGCCGGUGGAUACUGUGGGGCUAGAGUCCGGAAGAGGCGAGUGGAAUUCCUGGUGUAGCGGUGGAAUGCGCAGAUAUCAGGAGGAACACCAAUAGCGAAGGCAGCUCGCUGGGACGGUACUGACGCUAAGGCGCGAAAGCGUGGGGAGCGAACGAG
This 253-nucleotide ribosomal RNA is filed under the name uncultured bacterium. Its description in RNAcentral is "partial 16S ribosomal RNA". It matches the Rfam family "Bacterial small subunit ribosomal RNA", at positions 524 to 776 of the family's 1533-position model. The record is from RNAcentral.